CCAGCGCCUCGCCGAGCACGGCCGCGAUCCUGUCGCGGUCGGCGUCGGAGGCGCGCUGCGCGGGAUCGUCGCCCGCGUACGGGG
Molecule: transfer RNA, 84 nt
Filed under: Microbispora amethystogenes
Lineage: Bacteria; Bacillati; Actinomycetota; Actinomycetes; Streptosporangiales; Streptosporangiaceae
Description: tRNA-Asp
Source: RNAcentral